Molecule: ribosomal RNA, 495 nt
Filed under: uncultured bacterium
Lineage: Bacteria
Description: partial 16S ribosomal RNA
Rfam family: Bacterial small subunit ribosomal RNA
Source: RNAcentral
GACGAACGCUGGCGGCGUGCCUAAUACAUGCAAGUAGAACGCUGAAGGAGGAGCUUGCUUCUCCGGAUGAGUUGCGAACGGGUGAGUAACGCGUAGGUAACCUGCCUGGUAGCGGGGGAUAACUAUUGGAAACGAUAGCUAAUACCGCAUAAGAGUAGAUGUCGCAUGACAUUUGCUUAAAAGGUGCAACUGCACCACUACCAGAUGGACCUGCGUUGUAUUAGCUAGUUGGUGAGGUAACGGCUCACCAAGGCAACGAUACAUAGCCGACCUGAGAGGGGGAUCGGCCACACUGGGACUGAGACACGGCCCAGACUCCUACGGGAGGCAGCAGUAGGGAAUCUUCGGCAAUGGACGGAAGUCUGACCGAGCAACGCCGCGUGAGUGAAGAAGGUUUUCGGAUCGUAAAGCUCUGUUGUAAGAGAAGAACGAGUGUGAGAGUGGAAAGUUCACACUGUGACGGUAUCUUACCAGAAAGGGACGGCUAACUACGUG